GACGAACGCUGGCGGCGUGCUUAACACAUGCAAGUCGAACGGAAAGGCCCUGCUUUUGUGGGGUGCUCGAGUGGCGAACGGGUGAGUAACACGUGAGUAACCUGCCCUUGACUUUGGGAUAACUUCAGGAAACUGGGGCUAAUACCGGAUAGGAGCUCCUGCUGCAUGGUGGGGGUUGGAAAGUUUCGGCGGUUGGGGAUGGACUCGCGGCUUAUCAGCUUGUUGGUGGGGUAGUGGCUUCCCAAGGCUUUGACGGGUAGCCGGCCUGGGAGGGUGACCGGCCAAAUUGGGAUUGAGAGCCGGCCCAGACCCCUAGGGGGGGAAGGAGGGGGGAAUAUUGAACAAGGGGCGGAGGCUGGAGGAAGCAACGCGGGUGGGGGGAGGACGGCUUUCGGGUUGUAAACGGGUUUGGCUUGGGACGAAGGGGGGGUGAGGGUAAUGGGUAAGAAGCACCGGCUAACUACGUG
RNAcentral lists this ribosomal RNA (467 nucleotides) under uncultured bacterium. RNAcentral's name for it is "partial 16S ribosomal RNA". It matches the Rfam family "Bacterial small subunit ribosomal RNA", at positions 28 to 507 of the family's 1533-position model. The record is from RNAcentral.